Molecule: ribosomal RNA, 604 nt
Filed under: Mrakia robertii
Lineage: Eukaryota; Fungi; Basidiomycota; Tremellomycetes; Cystofilobasidiales; Mrakiaceae
Description: eukaryotic LSU rRNA
Rfam family: Eukaryotic large subunit ribosomal RNA
Source: RNAcentral
GCAUAUCAAUAAGCGGAGGAAAAGAAACUAACAAGGAUUCCCCUAGUAACGGCGAGUGAAGCGGGAUGAGCUCAAAUUUAAAAUCUGGCGGCCUCAGGUCGUCCGAGUUGUAGUCUAGAGAAUCGUUUUCCGCGUUGGCCUGUGUACAAGUCCCUUGGAACAGGGCGUCAUAGAGGGUGAGAAUCCCGUCCUUGACACAGACUACCAAUGCUUUGUGAUGCGAUCUCGAAGAGUCGAGUUGUUUGGGAAUGCAGCUCAAAAUGGGUGGUAAAUUCCAUCUAAAGCUAAAUAUUGGCGAGAGACCGAUAGCGAACAAGUACCGUGAGGGAAAGAUGAAAAGCACUUUGGAAAGAGAGUUAAACAGUACGUGAAAUUGUUAAAAGGGAAACGAUUGAAGUCAGUCAUGCUUUCCGAGACUCAGCCGAUUCUGUCGGUGUACUUCUCGGUUGGCAGGCCAGCAUCAGUUUCGAUCUGUGGAAAAGGUUGGAGGGAACGUGGCAUCCUCGGAUGUGUUAUAGCCCUUCUUCGAAUACAUAGAGCGGGACUGAGGAACGCAGCGCGCCUUUUAUUAGGUUGGCCCUCGGGUACAUACGCGCUUAGGAUG